RNAcentral lists this ribosomal RNA (406 nucleotides) under uncultured bacterium. RNAcentral describes it as "partial 16S ribosomal RNA". It matches the Rfam family "Bacterial small subunit ribosomal RNA", at positions 30 to 526 of the family's 1533-position model. The record is from RNAcentral.
AUUGAACGCUGGCGGCAGGCCUAACACAUGCAAGUCGAACGAGUGGCGGACGGGUGAGUAAUGUCUGGGAAACUGCCUGAUGGAGGGGGAUAACUACUGGAACCGGUAGCUAAUACCGCAUACCAUCGGAUGUGCCCAGAUGGGAUUAGCUAGUAGGUGGGGUAACGGCUCACCUAGGCGACGAUCCCUAGCUGGUCUGAGAGGAUGACCAGCCACACUGGAACGGAGACACGGUCCAGACUCCUACGGGAGGCAGCAGUGGGGAAUAUUGGACAAUGGGCGAAAGCCUGAUGCAGCCAUGCCGCGUGUAUGAAGAAGGCCUUCGGGUUGUAAAGUACUUUCAGCGGGGAGGCGUUACCCGAAGAAGAAGCACCGGCUAACUCCGUGCCAGCAGCCGCGGUAAUAC